Molecule: unclassified non-coding RNA, 254 nt
Filed under: uncultured Alphaproteobacteria bacterium
Lineage: Bacteria; Pseudomonadati; Pseudomonadota; Alphaproteobacteria
Description: contains 16S-23S intergenic spacer region
Rfam family: Bacterial small subunit ribosomal RNA
Source: RNAcentral
UACGAAGGGGGCUAGCGUUGUUCGGAAUUACUGGGCGUAAAGCGCGCGUAGGCGGUUUUACAAGCCAGAGGUGAAAUGCCUGAGCUCAACUUAGGAAUUGCCUUUGGAACUGUAUGGCUUUGAGGACGAGAGAGGUGAGUGGAAUUCCCAGUGUAGAGGUGAAAUUCGUAGAUAUUCGGAGGAACACCAGUGGCGAAGGCGGCUCACUGGCUCGAUACUGACGCUGAGGUGCGAAAGCGUGGGGAGCAAACAGG